ACGGCUCAGUAACACGUGGAUAACCCUGCCCUAAGGAAGGGGAUAACCUCGGGAAACUGAGGAUAAUACCCUAUAGGUUACAGACGCUGGAAUGCCCUGUAACCGAAAGCUCCGGCGCCUUAGGAUGGAUCUGCGGCCGAUUAGAUUGUUGUUGGGGUAACGGCCCAACAAGCCGAUAAUCGGUACGGGUUGUGGGAGCAAGAGCCCGGAGUUGGAUUCUGAGACACGAAUCCAGGCCCUACGGGGCGCAGCAGGCGCGAAAACUUUACAAUGCGGGAAACCGUGAUAAGGGAACCUCGAGUGCCUGUAUAUGCAGGCUGUCCAGGUGUCUAAAAAACACCUGAAGAAAGGGCCGGGCAAGACCGGUGCCAGCCGCCGCGGUAAUACCGGCGGCUCGAGUGGUGGCCACUUUUAUUGGGCUUAAAGCGUUCGUAGCUGGGUUGUUAAGUCUCUUGGGAAAUCUGACGGCUCAACCGUCAGGCGUCCAAGGGAUACUGGCAAUCUUGGAACCGGGAGAGGUGAGGGGUACUUCGGGGGUAGGGAGUGAAAUCCUGUAAUCCUCGAGGGACCACCUGUGGCGAAGGCGCCUCACCAGAACGGCUUCGACAGUGAGGGACGAAAGCUGGGGGAGCAAACCGGAUUAGAUACCCGGGUAGUCCCAGCCCUAAACGAUGCGCGUUAGGUGUAUCGGUGACCACGAGUCACCGAGGUGCCGAAGGGAAACCGUGAAACGUGCCGCCUGGGAAGUACGGUCGCAAGGCUGAAACUUAAAGGAAUUGGCGGGGGAG
RNAcentral lists this ribosomal RNA (788 nucleotides) under uncultured archaeon. RNAcentral describes it as "bacterial SSU rRNA". It matches the Rfam family "Archaeal small subunit ribosomal RNA", at positions 85 to 876 of the family's 1478-position model. The record is from RNAcentral.